Molecule: ribosomal RNA, 1380 nt
Filed under: Lactiplantibacillus plantarum
Lineage: Bacteria; Bacillati; Bacillota; Bacilli; Lactobacillales; Lactobacillaceae
Description: bacterial SSU rRNA
Rfam family: Bacterial small subunit ribosomal RNA
Source: RNAcentral
UUGAUUUGGUGCUUGCAUCAUGAUUUACAUUUGAGUGAGUGGCGAACUGGUGAGUAACACGUGGGAAACCUGCCCAGAAGCGGGGGAUAACACCUGGAAACAGAUGCUAAUACCGCAUAACAACUUGGACCGCAUGUCCGAGUUUGAAAGAUGGCUUCGGCUAUCACUUUUGGAUGGUCCCGCGGCGUAUUAGCUAGAUGGUGGGGUAACGGCUCACCAUGGCAAUGAUACGUAGCCGACCUGAGAGGGUAAUCGGCCACAUUGGGACUGAGACACGGCCCAAACUCCUACGGGAGGCAGCAGUAGGGAAUCUUCCACAAUGGACGAAAGUUGAUGGAGCAACGCCGCGUGAGUGAAGAAGGGUUUCGGCUCGUAAAACUCUGUUGUUAAAGAAGAACAUAUCUGAGAGUAACUGUUCAGGUAUUGACGGUAUUUAACCAGAAAGCCACGGCUAACUACGUGCCAGCAGCCGCGGUAAUACGUAGGUGGCAAGCGUUGUCCGGAUUUAUUGGGCGUAAAGCGAGCGAGGCGGUUUUUUAAGUCUGAUGUGAAAGCCUUCGGCUCAACCGAAGAAGUGCAUCGGAAACUGGGAAACUUGAGUGCAGAAGAGGACAGUGGAACUCCAUGUGUAGCGGUGAAAUGCGUAGAUAUAUGGAAGAACACCAGUGGCGAAGGCGGCUGUCUGGUCUGUAACUGACGCUGAGGCUCGAAAGUAUGGGUAGCAAACAGGAUUGAUACCCUGGUAGUCCAUACCGUAAACGAUGAAUGCUAAGUGUUGGAGGGUUUCCGCCCUUCAGUGCUGCAGCUAACGCAUUAAGCAUUCCGCCUGGGGAGUACGGCCGCAAGGCUGAAACUCAAAGGAAUUGACGGGGGUCCCGCACAAGCGGUGGAGCAUGUGGUUUAAUUCGAAGCUACGCGAAGAACCUUACCAGGUCUUGACAUACUAUGCAAAUCUAAGAGAUUAGACGUUCCCUUCGGGGACAUGGAUACAGGUGGUGCAUGGUUGUCGUCAGCUCGUGUCGUGAGAUGUUGGGUUAAGUCCCGCAACGAGCGCAACCCUUAUUAUCAGUUGCCAGCAUUAAGUUGGGCACUCUGGUGAGACUGCCGGUGACAAACCGGAGGAAGGUGGGGAUGACGUCAAAUCAUCAUGCCCCUUAUGACCUGGGCUACACACGUGCUACAAUGGAUGGUACAACGAGUUGCGAACUCGCGAGAGUAAGCUAAUCUCUUAAAGCCAUUCUCAGUUCGGAUUGUAGGCUGCAACUCGCCUACAUGAAGUCGGAAUCGCUAGUAAUCGCGGAUCAGCAUGCCGCGGUGAAUACGUUCCCGGGCCUUGUACACACCGCCCGUCACACCAUGAGAGUUUGUAACACCCAAAGU